RNAcentral lists this ribosomal RNA (380 nucleotides) under uncultured eukaryote. RNAcentral describes it as "partial 18S ribosomal RNA". It matches the Rfam family "Eukaryotic small subunit ribosomal RNA", at positions 592 to 976 of the family's 1831-position model. The record is from RNAcentral.
CAAUAGCGUAUAUUAAAGUUGUUGCGGUUAAAAAGCUCGUAGUUGGAUUUCUGCUGAGAACGACCGGUCCGCCCUCUGGGUGUGUAUCUGGCUCUUUCUUGGCAUCUUCUUGGUGAACGUUGCUGCACUUGACUGUGUGGAGCGCUACCCAGGACUUUUACUUUGAGGAAAUUAGAGUGUUUCAAGCAGGCAUACGCCUUGAAUACAUUAGCAUGGAAUAAUAAGAUAGGACCUCGGUUCUAUUUUGUUGGUUUCUAGAGCUGAGGUAAUGAUUAAUAGGGAUAGUUGGGGGCAUUCGUAUUUAACUGUCAGAGGUGAAAUUCUUGGAUUUACGGAAGACGAACUACUGCGAAAGCAUUUACCAAGGAUGUUUUCAUUAA